This 341-nucleotide ribosomal RNA is filed under the name Guinardia sp. Its description in RNAcentral is "SSU rRNA". It matches the Rfam family "Eukaryotic small subunit ribosomal RNA", at positions 584 to 926 of the family's 1831-position model. The record is from RNAcentral. Lineage: Eukaryota; Bacillariophyta; Coscinodiscophyceae; Rhizosoleniales; Rhizosoleniaceae.
UCCAGCUCCAAUAGCGUAUAUUAAAGUUGUUGCAGUUAAAAAGCUCGUAGUUGGAUAUCUGGUGGGAGCAAUGGGUCUCGCGCUUAGCGCGGGUACUUCAAUUCACUCCGGCCAUCCUUGGGGAGAGCCCGUCUGGCAUUAGGUUGUCGGGCGGGGGAUCCCCAUCGUUUACUGUGAAAAAAUUAGAGUGUUCAAAGCAGGCUUAUGCCGCUGAAUAUAUUAGCAUGGAAUAAUAGGAUAGGACUUUGGUACUAUUUUGUUGGUUUGUGCACCAAAGUAAUGAUUAAUAGGAACAGUCGGGGGUAUUCAUAUUCCAUUGUCAGAGGUGAAAUUCUUGGAUU